AUCAUUCUUGACCAAAUUACGUGCCAGNNGUCGCGGCAACACGCAUAAGACAAGUGUUAUUCAUCUUUAAUUCGGUUUAAAGGGUACCUAGACGGAAAAUCAAGCCAAAGGCAAAAGCAAAGCCACAGUAGGGACUAGUUUUCUAGAGUUUAAUGAAAGAAAGUCGAAUAUCUGGAGUAGAGAGACAAUAUUUCGAUACCAGAGAGACGGGUAACGGCGUAGGCAACUUUCUAUGUAAAAACUGACGUUGAGGGACGAAGCCCUGGGUAGCGAUAAGGAUUAGAUACCCCAGUAGUCCAGGGAGACAAUGAUGAAUGCCAUAAGCUAGGUAUAUUAGUUUAUAAAUGAAAGUGUAAGCAUUCCACCUCAUGAAUAAGGCGGCAACGCAUAAAUUGAAAUCAUUAGACCGUUUCUGAAACCAGUAGUGAAGUAUGUUAUUUAAUUCGAUGAACCGCGAAUAACCUUACCACGUUUUGUAUAUUAUUUAAUUAAUACAAGCGCUGCACGGCUGUCUUUAGUUAAUGUCGUGAGACUUUGGUUAAUUCC
Molecule: ribosomal RNA, 546 nt
Filed under: Normandina pulchella
Lineage: Eukaryota; Fungi; Ascomycota; Eurotiomycetes; Verrucariales; Verrucariaceae
Description: SSU rRNA
Rfam family: Bacterial small subunit ribosomal RNA
Source: RNAcentral